RNAcentral lists this long non-coding RNA (1859 nucleotides) under Accipiter nisus (Eurasian sparrowhawk). Its description in RNAcentral is "lncRNA (ENSANIG00000010980.1)". The record is from RNAcentral. Lineage: Eukaryota; Metazoa; Chordata; Aves; Accipitriformes; Accipitridae.
AUGUUAUUGCUCUCUUUCAUUCUUUUUCAUUUUUAUUUUCUUUCAUUUUCCGUUUCAUUUUCCAUUCUUUUCUUUUACGUGCUUCUCUCUUUUCAUUCCCCUUCUUUUCCCCUUCACCCCCCUCCCCAGCACUUUAAAGCCCAAGGAGCUCUCCCCCGGGGCCGCCCAGCCCCGCGGCAGCCCCGGUCCGGCCAGCGGGCACCAGCCGCCCGCCGCGGCCCCCCCGCCCGCCGAGCAGAGCCCGCACGCCCUGCGCAAAGUGGCCAAGAAGCUGGCGCCCAUCCCGCCGCGGGCGGCCGCGGGGGAGCAGGGGGGGGGCCAGCCCUCCCCCGCCAGCCUCUCCCCCACCCCCCCCAGCACCCCGUCCCCCUACGGCCCCGCCGCCCCCCCGGGGCCCUGCCUGCCCGCCGGCCAGCCCUCGCCCCCGCCGCCGCCUCCCCCGCCGCCCCCGGCGCUGCCCCCCCCCGCCGCCGCCGCCGCCGCCGCCCCCAAGUCCCGCCCCACCCCCAAACCGCGGCCGCGCCCCGCGCUGCCCCCCCCGCCCCAGCCCCCCCCGGCCGCCGCCGGCCCCCCCCAGCCCCCGGAGCUGCCCCGCCGGGACAACGCGGGCCCCGGGGACGGUGCGCUGGCAGGUCUGCUCCGUUUUGAGGUCCCCUCCCUCCACGUCCCCCCGGAUGCCGCCCUGUGCCGGGACCCGCCGGAGGCACCGCAGAGACUCUCGGGGCUGGGCCCAGCUGCCCGGCAGGAGGAGGAGGAGGAGGAGGAAUCGGAGAGCACAGCCCUAUGACAGUGUCCCUGUCCCCAAGCUCAUCCUUGCAGCACCCAGGGGCCAGCACCAGCCACCGGCACCGAGGGCCACCGGCACGCCAGUUUUGGGUGGCAAAGCGCCCGGUUUGGGGGGCGGUCGCUGUUCUUUAUUUCAUUUUUUUUCGCCUUAUCCAGACUUUGCCUUUCGACCGGGUGCCUGCCCCCCCCACACACCCCGCAGCACCCACGGUCCUGGGGCGAUGCCACCACCUCCAUGCCCCGAGAGUAGGUGCCACUGGCUACCAGCCAGGUGACAACAAGCUCGCCGGCGCUUUGCAGCGGGAUUUCAUUUCUUCGGCUUCUUCCCCCUCCGCUUGUUUGCCGGAGCAGGAUGGGACCUGACCAGCAAUAACCUGGGGACGCACGAUGCGGCUCCCCCGGGCUCUCGGGGUGCUGGCGGGCAAGGGCGCGCAUCCCUCGGCACCCGCUGUCCCCAUGGGUUGGUGGCUUUGGUCGUGCAUGCGAAGACAAAUUAACCUUUUAUCCUUUCCAGAGAGAUAAGAGAGAUUAUAUAUAUAUAUAUCGGCAGAGAUAUAUAUAUAUUAUAUAUUUGUAUAUAUAUAUAGAAAAAAUAUAUAGAGAUUUGUUUUAUUUGGAGCCAUUCCCACCCACCCGGUGCACAGAGGGAGGAUGGAAAUGGCAGCGCUUUGCCCCCCUGCCCCGCUCGCGCCGUGCCCCUCGCCCCAGGCGGGCACCCGGGGGCACCAGCACCCCAAAGCAAUCAAUAAAUCCAUGUGCCACUCGCUGUGAACUGCCCAGCAGCGCUGGCGUUUGGUUACUGCCUGUUGGCACCAGCAGGGCUGUGCCUAGCUGUGGUGGCGGUGGUGGGGGUGUUUGGUGGGGGGAUGUGGGGUUGGAUGAGAUUUGGGGGGUAAAAUGGUGGGGUUGGGUUGGUGCGGGAUGUUGGGGCCCUGGUCCCCUAGGAUGGGGCAGUGCCAGGCAUUGGGUGGUCCCAGCCCACACUGGUGCCCACUGAUGGAUUUAGGACACAUUUGGAAGGUAAUUUGCUAUAAGAAAUGGGCCUUAAUGAGGGUUUGGGUGAUAAAAUGGUU